RNAcentral lists this ribosomal RNA (141 nucleotides) under uncultured bacterium. Its description in RNAcentral is "partial 16S rRNA". It matches the Rfam family "Bacterial small subunit ribosomal RNA", at positions 355 to 511 of the family's 1533-position model. The record is from RNAcentral.
UGGGGAAUUUUCCGCAAUGGGCGAAAGCCUGACGGAGCAAUGCCGCGUGGAGGUGGAAGGCCUACGGGUCGUCAACUUCUUUUCUCGGAGAAGAAACAAUGACGGUAUCUGAGGAAUAAGCACCGGCUAACUCUGUGCCAG